RNAcentral lists this ribosomal RNA (492 nucleotides) under uncultured bacterium. Its description in RNAcentral is "partial 16S ribosomal RNA". It matches the Rfam family "Bacterial small subunit ribosomal RNA", at positions 29 to 507 of the family's 1533-position model. The record is from RNAcentral.
AGUGAACGCUGGCGGCGUGCCUAAUACAUGCAAGUCGAGCGGACAGACGAUAAGCUUGCUCCUCUGCCGUUAGCGACUGGCGGGUGGGUAACACGUGGAUCACCUACCUCUAAUACUUGGAUAACUUCGGGAGAACGGAUCUAAUACCGGCUAAUAUAUUCUACCGCUUAGUUCAAUAGUGAUAGACGGCUUUCCUGUCACUUUUAGCUGGUGUCGGAUUAGCUAGUUUGGUUGGUAAAGUCCCACCAAGGCGACGAUGCGUAGCUGAUCUGAGAGGAUGAUCGGCCACACUGGAACUGAGACACGGUCCAGACUCCUACGGGAGGCAGCAGUAGGGAAUAUUCGGCAAUGGGCGCAAGCCUGAUGCAGCCAUGCCGCGUGAGUGAAGAAGGUCUUCGGAUUGUAAAGCUCUUUUAUUAGGGAAGAAAAACAGUGUAAGAAAACACGGCUGUCCUGACGGUACCCAAUGAGAAAGCAACGGCUAACUUCGUG